UACGGGGGGAGCAAGCGUUGUUCGGAUUUACUGGGCGUAAAGGGCGCGUAGGCGGCCACCGCAAGUCGACUGUGAAAUCUCCGGGCUUAACUCGGAAAGGUCAGCCGAUACUGCGGGGCUAGAGUGCAGAAGGGGCAACUGGAAUUCUCGGUGUAGCGGUGGAAUGCGCAGAUAUCAGGAGGAACACCGAUGGCGAAGGCAGCUCGCUGGGACGGUACUGACGCUGAGGCGCGAAAGCGUGGGGAGCGAACAGG
This 254-nucleotide ribosomal RNA is filed under the name uncultured bacterium. RNAcentral's name for it is "partial 16S ribosomal RNA". It matches the Rfam family "Bacterial small subunit ribosomal RNA", at positions 524 to 776 of the family's 1533-position model. The record is from RNAcentral.